Molecule: ribosomal RNA, 253 nt
Filed under: uncultured bacterium
Lineage: Bacteria
Description: partial 16S ribosomal RNA
Rfam family: Bacterial small subunit ribosomal RNA
Source: RNAcentral
UACGUAGGGGGCAAGCGUUGUCCGGAAUUAUUGGGCGUAAAGAGCGCGUAGGCGGUCCGAUUAGUCGGCUGUGAAAGUCCAGGGCUCAACCCUGGAAAGCCGGCCGAUACUGUCGGACUAGAGUCCGGAAGAGGCAAGUGGAAUUCCCGGUGUAGCGGUGGAAUGCGCAGAUAUCAGGAGGAACACCAAUAGCGAAGGCAGCUCGCUGGGACGUUACUGACACUGAGGCGCGAAAGCGUGGGGAGCGAACAGG